AACCUGCCCUUCAGAGGGGGACAACAGUUGGAAACGACUGCUAAUACCGCAUACGAUCUAACCUCGGCAUCGAGGAUAGAUGAAAGGUGGCCUCUAUUUAUAAGCUAUCACUGAAGGAGGGGAUUGCGUCUGAUUAGCUAGUUGGAGGGGUAACGGCCCACCAAGGCGAUGAUCAGUAGCCGGUCUGAGAGGAUGAACGGCCACAUUGGGACUGAGACACGGCCCAGACUCCUACGGGAGGCAGCAUG
RNAcentral lists this ribosomal RNA (248 nucleotides) under uncultured bacterium. Its description in RNAcentral is "partial 16S ribosomal RNA". It matches the Rfam family "Bacterial small subunit ribosomal RNA", at positions 123 to 353 of the family's 1533-position model. The record is from RNAcentral.